GAUCUACAUAAUGUUGGUGAUGCGUGUGGUUGAAUUCGUCCUCAUCACUGUUGUUACUGUUCUCAUCACUGUUGUUACUGUUCGUCACUUCAGAGCUCGAGCAGGGAACCAGAGACCACCUGAUGACCACACUGUUUCUUACUCAGUAAGAAGCAGAACAGCGAGGCGUUCAGGUCCAGCAGCCAGUCAGGUAAAUAUCUGAUGGUGCGUUCAGGGUCUGCUGACUCCACUGUGACCUGUGUUCACUUUUAAAACUUCAACAGUCAGCUGGGAGGAAAA
Molecule: long non-coding RNA, 279 nt
Organism: Scomber scombrus (Atlantic mackerel)
Lineage: Eukaryota; Metazoa; Chordata; Actinopteri; Scombriformes; Scombridae
Exons: 3
Source: RefSeq, a predicted model, not a curated record